Molecule: long non-coding RNA, 1974 nt
Organism: Stegostoma tigrinum
Lineage: Eukaryota; Metazoa; Chordata; Chondrichthyes; Orectolobiformes; Stegostomatidae
Exons: 3
Source: RefSeq, a predicted model, not a curated record
GUCCGCGGGCGCAAUAUCUCUGCGAAUGAGGGUUAGCUGCUUGCCGAAGGUACAGUACACGGGAUAAAAAGGAAAGCUGCAAAAAAACGGGAGGGAAAUACUUUCGGUAUUGACUGAGAGGCUUUAUUAGCCGUUGAUGCAUGUCAGAAAACAAAUUUUAACAUGCCGGUCCCGUGUUUUGCAGCAAACGGAAAAACUGCUACGGACCUGAGGCUGCGAUAGGCAGAGGAUAUUUAUUGAGAAUAAUUUGCAGACCAGGAUCCCAAUGCAAGUUCUCCAUUAAGCGGAGUGAUCAGGAUCUGAGUAUCAUUGACACUUAACAGUGAAAGGAAAGAGGUUUAACCAUUCUAUGCGUGGGAGAAUACUCCUGGACCUUUCGUGAUCUAAUCCCGUAACAGUGUGAGCUGCUACAAUGCACAUGCUAGUAAAAGCAUAAGAGGACAGAUGAGAUGAGUGCAUGGCUGGAGCUAUAACUUAAAAAGAUUUGGAUUCCUGAGGCAUUGAGACUGUUUGUUUGUUUCUGGGGAAGGUGGGACAUGCACAAGCUUGAACAAUUGUCCUGGGCAGAGCUGGGACAGAUAUUCUUGUUGAUGCUUUUGCUAGUUCCACUGGUGAGGAUUUAAACUCGUAUGACAGGGGAAUGGGAACCAAAGUAUACCUUUAGCAGUAAAAGACUCAAAUCAGCAAAUGGGACGUGAAAUUAGUUCAUGAUGUUGUCGGUGGCUGAAAGAUUAAAAGAAAGAAGGAUUAAUCAAGAUCAAAUCUCUUUUCAUACAUCAGUCCUGUGAUCCCAGGAAUUGGUCUGGUGAACCUUCUUUGCGAUCAUUCAGUAGCCAGACCAUCCUUCCUUUGGAAAGGAGAACAAAGGUGCACACUACUGCAGGUGUGGUCUCACCAAGGCCCUUCUAGAAAGACAUCCCUCUUCCUGUACUCGAAUCCUGUCACAAUGAAGGCCGAAAUAUCAUUUGCAUUCUUCACUACUUGCUGCUGCCUGUUUCCUAAAAGAGAAUAGGAGAGAAACACGGAACUAAAUGGGGUCAGACAGUCGGGUACAAUUGUUGAACACACUGUCCCCAUUGUAUCGGUGCUGGCCAUCAAGCACCUAUUUAAGCUAGGCCCGUUUUCUGGCACUCGGUGUGUAACCUAUAUUAUGGUGCAGUGGAUGAUCAUCUCAACACUUCUUCAAGAUUGCAAUGGUUCCUGCAUCUAUUAACAUUUCAGAUGCUGCCAGAUCUACUGUGUAUCUCCAUCUUUUUCUGUUUUUAUUCCAGAUUUCGGGUAUUUUGCUGUGUAUUCUUAGUCCUUCAGAAGCAUCAGAGGGUAUGGGGAGAAAACAGGAAUUGGAUUCAUUUUCAGAUGUAUAAAAUGCCUGCCCUUCAUGUCUGUCCAAACUCUAUCUCUUUUUGUAGUUUUGGGCAAACGCUGACUGUUUCCCUUCCCUGAAGGACAUUAAAUGAACCAGUUCAGUUUUACUGAUAAUCCAGCAGUGCCCCUCAGUGUUGCAUCCACAAUUGACCAGAUUAAUUUCUGAGUUUCACAAUCUUUGUGUGUGUUCUUCUGGUUUCUCUCUCUCUCUCUCUCUCUCUCUCUCUCUCUCUACUUUUCUUUUUUUUCUUCAGUUUGAAAUUUUGAUUGCAUUCAGAGAAAUCAAACAAAACCACAUCCAGAUCUGACACUCAAUCUGUUUGUCAUAACCUAAUUAUCUCAGGAUUUUGAACAUUAAAGGAAGAAGCACUGUUCACACCAGGGAGAAAUGCGUAUUGUCUGUGUGUCGAAGAGUCUUUGAAGAUUCAUCUGAAAUGCCCAAACACCAGCGCAGUCACACUUGGGAGAGACUGUGGAAAUGUGGGGAUUGUGGGAAGGGAUUUAUUUACCCAUCCCAGCUGGAAAUGCACCAACGCAGUCACACUGGGGAGAAACCGUUCAUUUGCUCUGAUUGUGGGCUGGGAUUCACUCAGUCAAACAACCUGCUGA